This 477-nucleotide ribosomal RNA is filed under the name Pseudomonas fluorescens. RNAcentral's name for it is "bacterial SSU rRNA". It matches the Rfam family "Bacterial small subunit ribosomal RNA", at positions 30 to 500 of the family's 1533-position model. Lineage: Bacteria; Pseudomonadati; Pseudomonadota; Gammaproteobacteria; Pseudomonadales; Pseudomonadaceae. The record is from RNAcentral.
AUUGAACGCUGGCGGCAGGCCUAACACAUGCAAGUCGAGCGGUAGAGAGAAGCUUGCUUCUCUUGAGAGCGGCGGACGGGUGAGUAAUGCCUAGGAAUCUGCCUGGUAGUGGGGGAUAACGUUCGGAAACGGACGCUAAUACCGCAUACGUCCUACGGGAGAAAGCAGGGGACCUUCGGGCCUUGCGCUAUCAGAUGAGCCCAGGUCGGAUUAGCUAGUUGGUGGGGUAAUGGCUCACCAAGGCGACGAUCCGUAACUGGUCUGAGAGGAUGAUCAGUCACACUGGAACUGAGACACGGUCCAGACUCCUACGGGAGGCAGCAGUGGGGAAUAUUGGACAAUGGGCGAAAGCCUGAUCCAGCCAUGCCGCGUGUGUGAAGAAGGUCUUCGGAUUGUAAAGCACUUUAAGUUGGGAGGAAGGGCAGUUACCUAAUACGUAAUUGCUUUGACGUUACCGACAGAAUAAGCACCGGCUAA